ACUAUACAAAGGUAUUGAAAUAAGACUUUAAUUGAGUGCUAAGAGAAUGGAAUUUCAUAAAAUUUCUUUUUUAAUUUUAAAAAUUGAAAUUAAUUUUAUAUGUGAAGAAACAAUAAUAAAAAUUAAGGACAAGAAGACCCUAAGAAUUUUAAAGAUUUCAAUAAAAUUUUGUAUUUUAUUGAAAUCUUUUAAUUGGGGCGAUUAUUAAAUAUUAAAAACUUUAAUUUUUUAAAAAAAGAACCAAUAAUAUUGGUUAUUUGAAAAAAUACUCUAGGGAUAACAGCGUAAUAAUUUUUGAUAGUUCUUAUAGACAAAAUAGUUUGCGACCUCGAUGUUGGAUUAGGAUUCUUUUUUAAUGAAGAAGUUAAAAAAAGAAGUUUGUUCAACUUUUAAAAUCCUACUUGAUCUGAGU
This 412-nucleotide ribosomal RNA is filed under the name Amblyomma triste. RNAcentral's name for it is "partial 16S ribosomal RNA". The stretch from base 276 to 412 matches the Rfam family "Archaeal large subunit ribosomal RNA", at positions 2542 to 2679 of the family's 2987-position model. Lineage: Eukaryota; Metazoa; Arthropoda; Arachnida; Ixodida; Ixodidae. The record is from RNAcentral.